GGUAGUUUGACUGGGGCGCUCUCCUCCUAACGAGUAACGGAGGCGCACGUAGGUUGGCUAAUCCUGGUCGGACAUCAGGAGGUUAGUGCAAUGGCGUAAGCCAGCUUUACUGUGAGCGCGAUGGCUCGAGCCGGUGCGAAAGCAGGUAAUAGUGAUCCGGUUGUCCUGAAUGGUAGGGCCAUCGCUCAACGGAUAAAAGCUACUCCUGGUAUAACAGGUAGAUACCGCCCAAUAGUUCUUAUCGACGGCGGUGUUUGGCCCCUCGAUGUCGGCUCAUCACAUCCUGGGGCUGAAGUAGGUCC
This 302-nucleotide ribosomal RNA is filed under the name Escherichia coli. RNAcentral's name for it is "partial 23S ribosomal RNA". It matches the Rfam family "Bacterial large subunit ribosomal RNA", at positions 2264 to 2565 of the family's 2925-position model. Lineage: Bacteria; Pseudomonadati; Pseudomonadota; Gammaproteobacteria; Enterobacterales; Enterobacteriaceae. The record is from RNAcentral.